RNAcentral lists this ribosomal RNA (527 nucleotides) under Rhabditis environmental sample. RNAcentral describes it as "eukaryotic LSU rRNA". It matches the Rfam family "Eukaryotic large subunit ribosomal RNA", at positions 80 to 604 of the family's 3401-position model. The record is from RNAcentral. Lineage: Eukaryota; Metazoa; Nematoda; Chromadorea; Rhabditida; Rhabditidae.
UUAGUAACGGCGAGUGAAAAGGGAUGAGCCCAGCGCUGAAUCUCUCGGUCUAAGGCCGCUGAGAACUGUAGCGUAUAGGUUUGACUGUCUGUUUGCUAUGUAUUCUCCAAGUUCCUUUGAUAGGGGCUAGUUCAGUCCCGAGAGGGUGCUAGACCUGUGCGAGAAUUGUAGUGAGCAGUUGGUUGUUCCUUGGAGUCGUGUUGCUUGAAAGUGCAGCAUAAAGUAGGUGAUAGACUUCAUCUAAGGCUAAAUAUAACCAUGAAUUCGAUAGCUAACAAGUACCGCGAGGGAAAGUUGCAAAGAACUUUGAAGAGAGAGUUCAAGAGAACGUGAAAUCGCUGGAGUAUGCGGAGAGAGUUGACGUAACCCGGUAGCUAAGUUGUUCUUCGGAGCGAUGGUGCUGCUUAUGGUUGCAUUGGUGGCGUUGGUUAGCAACGACAGCUGCGUAGUUUAGCCCACUUCGGUGGUGUCUAGCUUGUGGUCUUGUUGUUGUCGGCUAGCGUGUAAGCCCUGUUCACAGGGUGCCA